AAGAAGAGUCUCGUCAACAAAACAAACAAUAAUGAUACGUACAUAGAACAAGUAAACAACAUAUGCAUAGCAUCUAGGCAUGUAAACAUUUCUAAAACGUCUAGGAGGUGUACAACAAAAUUUUAGAUAAUACAAAAGCAUUUAAGUUGAUUCUGAGAAUCAUCAGAAUCCAAAAGCAUCUAAGUCGAUGUUUCUCCGAAUCAACUUUUAAGCAGGUCUAAAAGCUAUAUUUUUUUGCCGUCAAGAAGAAUCGGAAGUUAUGGGAAACACAUUGGCAAAACCUCCAAGAGGCCAGAAUCUAAAAUCACCCCACACAAAAGCUAUUGCAGAUUCCCCCUAACUUACUCCAGAAAAUUCCAACAUCUGUACUGAAUAAAAAAACCACACCUUCAGUUCAUUAAUCUUCUCCUGCAAACUAUCGCUUGACUCCUUGAGUUUCUGGGCCUCAUCCCUUAGCUGCGUCAAUGUCUGAACAGCAUCACUCAAUAUAACAGCCUUGUCCACUUUGGGUUUCCUUCCCGGCUCCAGGAUCAAGCUUAACUCUAGGAACCUUGAGACAUGCCAAAGUCCAACAAUUUAUUGACAACCAUGCACAGCACACAUAUACAGCACACGACUCGUGCAAAGAGAUAGAAAGAGAGAGAUGGAGAGUGCAUGCCUUUCAUUCAGCCUAUCCCUUCGCAUUUUCUCCCUACAUGCUUUGGAAUCAGAUGAACUGCAUGAUUCGGGCCUCAUCCUGCAAUCCGAUUUUCAGUAAUCUCAGGGUAAAACAAACCAAAAAAGGCUGGAGCAAGGAGAUCUGAAGUAAUGGAGAUCCAAUGUAGAAGUGGUAAAAACAAGAAUGUUCAGUAGGAAGAAAAAGAACGAUAAACCCCCAUCAGAAAUCAUGAGUAAUCAGUUGCGGAAAAUGAAGGUUCUCAGACCAAGCAAAACUUUUCCUUUAACUGAAUAAUAAUA
Long non-coding RNA from Rhododendron vialii, 957 nucleotides. RefSeq lists it as uncharacterized. The transcript is spliced from 2 exons. NCBI's taxonomy places the organism in Eukaryota, Viridiplantae, Streptophyta, Magnoliopsida, Ericales, Ericaceae. The record is from RefSeq and is a predicted model, not a curated record.